Molecule: transfer RNA, 72 nt
Filed under: Danionella cerebrum
Lineage: Eukaryota; Metazoa; Chordata; Actinopteri; Cypriniformes; Danionidae
Description: tRNA-Pro
Source: RNAcentral
GGCUCGUUGUUCUAGGGGAAUGAUUCUCGCUUUGGGCGCGAGAGGUCCUGGGUUCGAACUCCGGAUGAGCCC